This 467-nucleotide ribosomal RNA is filed under the name uncultured bacterium. Its description in RNAcentral is "partial 16S ribosomal RNA". It matches the Rfam family "Bacterial small subunit ribosomal RNA", at positions 28 to 507 of the family's 1533-position model. The record is from RNAcentral.
GAUGAACGCUGACAGAAUGCUUAACACAUGCCAGUCAACUUGAAUUUGGGUUUUUAACUUAGGUUUGGGUGGCGGACGGGUGAGUAACGCGUAAAGAACUUGCCUCACAGCUAGGGACAACAUUUGGAAACGAAUGCUAAUACCUAAUAUUAUGAUAAUAGGGCAUCCUAUAAUUAUGAAAGCUAUAAGCGCUGUGAGAGAGCUUUGCGUCCCAUUAGCUAGUUGGAGAGGUAACGGCUCACCAAGGCGAUGAUGGGUAGCCGGCCUGAGAGGGUGAUCGGCCACAAGGGGACUGAGACACGGCCCUUACUCCUACGGGAGGCAGCAGUGGGGAAUAUUGGUCAAUGGACCAAGAGUCUGAUCCAGCAAUUCUGUGUGCACGAUGAAGUUUUUCGGAAUGUAAAGUGCUUUCAGUUGGGAAGAAAGAAAUGACGGUACCAACAGAAGAAGUGACGGCUAAAUACGUG